GGGGUUGUGGCUCAGAGGUAGAGCGCUCGCCUAGCAUGUGUGAGGCCCUGGGUUCCAUCCUCAGCACCACA
This 71-nucleotide transfer RNA is filed under the name Marmota monax (woodchuck). RNAcentral's name for it is "tRNA.Ala". It matches the Rfam family "tRNA". Rfam says of the family: Transfer RNA (tRNA) molecules are approximately 80 nucleotides in length. Lineage: Eukaryota; Metazoa; Chordata; Mammalia; Rodentia; Sciuridae. The record is from RNAcentral.